RNAcentral lists this ribosomal RNA (447 nucleotides) under uncultured bacterium. RNAcentral describes it as "bacterial SSU rRNA". It matches the Rfam family "Bacterial small subunit ribosomal RNA", at positions 355 to 825 of the family's 1533-position model. The record is from RNAcentral.
UGGGGAAUUGUUCGCAAUGGGCGCAAGCCUGAUCCAGCCAUGCCGCGUGUGUGAAGAAGGCCUUAGGGUUGUAAAACACUUUCAGCGGGGAAGAUGAUGACGGUACCCGCAGAAGAAGCCCCGGCUAACUCCGUGCCAGCAGCCGCGGUAAUACGGAGGGGGCUAGCGUUGUUCGGAAUUACUGGGCGUAAAGGGCGUGUAGGCGGCCUGCCAAGUCAGAUGUGAAAGCCCCGGGCUUAGCCUGGGAACUGCAUUUGAGACUGGCCGGCUAGAGGUUGGAAGAGGAGAGUGGAAUUCCCAGUGUAGAGGUGAAAUUCGUAGAUAUUGGGAAGAACACCAGUGGCGAAGGCGGCUCUCUGGUCCACACCUGACGCUGAGGAGCGAAAGCCAGGGGAGCAAACGGGAUUAGAUACCCCCGUAGUCCCUGAGCGGGCUGGCAAGGCGCAU